RNAcentral lists this ribosomal RNA (359 nucleotides) under uncultured fungus. Its description in RNAcentral is "SSU rRNA". It matches the Rfam family "Eukaryotic small subunit ribosomal RNA", at positions 288 to 645 of the family's 1831-position model. The record is from RNAcentral. Lineage: Eukaryota; Fungi.
CGAUGGUUCAUUCAAAUUUCUGCCCUAUCAACUUUCGAUGGUAGAGUAGUGGUCUACCAAUGGUUUCAACGGGUAACGGGGAAUUAGGGUUCUAUUCCGGAGAGGGAGCCUGAGAAACGGCUACCACAUCCAAGGAAGGCAGCAGGCGCGCAAAUUACCCAAUCCCGACACGGGGAGGUAGUGACAAUAAAUACUGAUACAGGGCUCUUUUGGGUCUUGUAAUUGGAAUGAGUACAAUUUAAAUCCCUUAACGAGGAACAAUUGGAGGGCAAGUCUGGUGCCAGCAGCCGGGUUAAUUCCAGCUCCAAUAGCGUAUAUUAAAGUUGUUGCAGUUAAAAAGCUCGUAGUUGAACCUUGGG